Molecule: ribosomal RNA, 314 nt
Filed under: uncultured eukaryote
Lineage: Eukaryota
Description: partial 18S ribosomal RNA
Rfam family: Eukaryotic small subunit ribosomal RNA
Source: RNAcentral
CCCCUAGAUGUUCUGGGCCGCACGCGCGCUACACUGAACAGUUCAACAAGUCUUAACCUUGGCCGAUAGGUCUGGGUAAUCUUUGAACGCUGUUCGUGAUUGGGAUAGACCUUUGCAAUUAUGGGUCUUCAACGAGGAAUUCCUAGUAAACGCAAGUCAUCAACUUGCAUUGAUUACGUCCCUGCCCUUUGUACACACCGCCCGUCGCACCUACCGAUUGAAUGGUCCGGUGAAGCCUCCGGAUUGGCGCGCACCCCGGUGCCGCCGAGAAGUUGGCUAAACCUUACCAUUUAGAGGAAGGUGAANUCGUANCA